UACCCGCGCCCCGAGUGGUGAUCACGAUUAUUGGGCUUAAAGCGUUCGUAGCCGGCUCUGCAAGUUCCUGGUGAAAUCGAUCGGCAAACCGAUCGGCUUGCUGGGGAUACUGCAUUGCUCGGGACCGGGAGAGGUUAGAGGUACUCCAGGGGUAAGGGUAAAAUCUUAUAAUCCUUGGGGGACCACCUGAUGGAGAUUGCCAACUCGUUUGGCCGUCACCAGGUGAAUGGCGAAGGCGUCUAACU
RNAcentral lists this ribosomal RNA (245 nucleotides) under uncultured archaeon. RNAcentral describes it as "partial 16S ribosomal RNA". It matches the Rfam family "Archaeal small subunit ribosomal RNA", at positions 474 to 719 of the family's 1478-position model. The record is from RNAcentral.